AUAUAUAUUGGCUUAUAAGGGAAGAAAGCCCAUUUUUCUUCUUCCCCUGGCAGACGUCCAACCCCUUCCCCAUCAAACCUCCAUUCUUUUUAUUUGCAAGCUCAAAUCUUAGCCUCUAAAAUCUCAAAUAUCAUUCAUAGAUCACAGAUUGAGGUUCGAGUGGCUUUAUAAAGUAAACAAGCAAGGAUCUCUACUUCAUUAAGCAUACCAGGUUGAGCAAUGGCUGAUGAAGAUGAAGUGAUGAGCGGAGCUUUUGUCAUAAGUUUAAUAAAUGGACUCUUGGAUACAUGUCUCCAUACAUGUAAUCAGAUUAUGUUAUUCCGCUGCAUACUCUCAAGUAAUAUGUCUUUAAGCUAAGUCGGGUUCAUCCGAACUUACGAGUUAAUCGAGUCCUUGCGACUAAACAACAGUUAUCUUAUGAUUGUCCCUCCUUAACAAUGAUUUGAUUUCGAGCCUUCA
This is a long non-coding RNA of Salvia miltiorrhiza (redroot sage), 459 nucleotides long. RefSeq lists it as uncharacterized. The transcript is spliced from 3 exons. The record is from RefSeq and is a predicted model, not a curated record. NCBI's taxonomy places the organism in Eukaryota, Viridiplantae, Streptophyta, Magnoliopsida, Lamiales, Lamiaceae.